CAUAGAUUUGGUCCUAGUCUUAAUAUCAACUCGUACCUAAUUUACACAUGCAAGUCUCAGCAGCCCAGUGAGAACACCCUCAAACCUAUUAAGGAAAAGGAGCUGGUAUCAGGCACAGAUUUCUAGCCCAUAACACCUAGCAUCGCCACACCCCCAAGGGCACUCAGCAGUGAUAAAUAUUGAUUAUUAAGCGUAAGCUUGAUUCAGUUAACGUACACAAAGCCGGCCAACCCGGUGCCAGCCGCCGCGGCUAUACCGUAGGGCUUAAGUUGAUAACUACGGCGUUAAGCGUGUUUUGAGCCACAACAAAUUAGAAUUAAACCUGGCCCAGACAGUGACAUGUAUACACCUUAUGAAAAUACUAAACGAAAGUUAUUCUAAUAAACACUCGAAUCCACGACAAUUAAGACACAAACUGGGAUUAGAUACCCCACUAUGCUUAAUCGUAAAAUAUUUACUUACACUUCAACCGCCAGAGAACUACAAGUGAUUACUUAAAACUCAAAGGACUUGACGGCGUCCCACCUACCUAGAGGAGCCUGUUCUAUAAUCGAUAACCCCCGAUAUACCUAACCACCUUUUGCUAAUCAGUCUGUAUACCUCCGUCGCAAGCUUACCAUAUGAAUGAUAACCAGUAAGCAAAAUGAUUACUUCACCAAUACGUCAGGUCAAGGUGCAACCUACAAAGUGGCAAGAAAUGGGCUACAAUUUCUAAUUUAGAACAUACGAAUAAUCAUAUGAAAAAUGAUAAUGAAGGCGGAUUUAGUAGUAAGAAAAAAAUAAAAAGUUUUCCUUAACCAAGCAAUGAGACGUGUACACACCGCCCGUCACCCUCUUCAAUUAAUUUACCAUUAGUUUAUAACACUAAACUUUACUAAAGAAGAGGCAAGUCGUAACAUGGUAAGUAUACUGGAAAGUGUACUUGGAACA
Molecule: non-coding RNA, 930 nt
Filed under: Arthroleptis poecilonotus (West African screeching frog)
Lineage: Eukaryota; Metazoa; Chordata; Amphibia; Anura; Arthroleptidae
Description: 12S ribosomal RNA
Rfam family: Microsporidia small subunit ribosomal RNA
Source: RNAcentral